UACUCGAGUGGCGAACGGGUGAGUAAUACGUGGGUGAUCUGCCCUGCACUUCGGGAUAAGCCUGGGAAACUGGGUCUAAUACCGGAUAGGAGCCAUUUUUAGUGUGAUGGUUGGAAAGUUUUUUCGGUGUAGGAUGAGCUCGCGGCCUAUCAGCUUGUUGGUGGGGUAAUGGCCUACCAAGGCGGCGACGGGUAGCCGGCCUGAGAGGGUGGACGGCCACAUUGGGACUGAGAUACGGCUCAG
This 243-nucleotide ribosomal RNA is filed under the name uncultured Actinomycetales bacterium. RNAcentral's name for it is "partial 16S ribosomal RNA". It matches the Rfam family "Bacterial small subunit ribosomal RNA", at positions 88 to 334 of the family's 1533-position model. Lineage: Bacteria; Bacillati; Actinomycetota; Actinomycetes; Actinomycetales. The record is from RNAcentral.